GCGAACAGCUUGCAUUCUCAUAAUGGAUUGUGGAUCACCUAUGGUCACCUAUUUCAUUGUAGAUGCUCUAAUUUUCAGGUGCCUGGUAUUUAAUAUUUUAAAUAUUCCAACUUAGUAAGGUGCCACAUUUUGGGCUAGUCCAUAGAACUCCCUUGUGUUUUUGUUGGUUAAAGUGUAACACGUCCAAAUCCGCUACCAAAUGGUAUCUUCCCAUACAUCUGCUUUGUGAUGAUUAGAGGUUUGAAGUUGUAGCCCUGUAUGUCAUCGUUGUACAGUUUGAUGAGCUCGACUAUAAGCAACCACGCUGCCCAUGGAAAAGCAGUGGAAUAAAGUCCAUUCUUAGAAUUCAUUAGCACUGCCACUUAAAAAAUAAAACAAGUAUGUGACUAGGAUAAGAAGCAAAACUAUAAAGCCCAAGAAAAUAGCACAAUUAUGUUUUUGUAAAAAGAGAAGAAAAAAAACAUUGUGUAUGUAUCUGCAAAAAUGUAGUUAAAAUGUAUUCAGAUAAUUUGUUGAAUGCUACACAAUGCACAGUGUAGCUUGAUCCUUGUUUAAAACAAUGACACAGAUUAACCUUUUCAACAUUUCAUAUCUGGUAUUUGUGUGAAAUCUCAGAAACCCAGUGCUAAGUAUGGAAAAAGUGACCAUAUUUAUAUGGCAGCUCAAGAUCAUUUGCACUUUCAUGAGCUUUGACCUUGCCAACAGCAGAAGAAAAACCUACACCUUUACUUGUAUAUCGACAUUAAUAUAGAAUUGUGUAUUUUUAUUUUUUUUGUUUUUUCUUCUAUACUAGUGUUUCAGUCACAUGACCUUGUUUGUGAUUCACCUCCAAGCUAUCUAAAAGGGGUGUGAAGUCCCUACAUUGGCAGCUGACCAAUCUCAUUUUUAGUGAUUGUGCUAAAGGGAUUGGUAAUCUCCUUUUUUUUAAUAAGGUCCUGGUGUUUAUGUUAAAACAUCUUGCUUAUUAUUAUAAGUACCUCUUUAAAGGGGAAUUGAGCAAUAUUUGAUUGUGUCUAAGCAGAAAUCACUAGUUCAGCUUUGGUGCUCAAUGUUCAUAUUUGAUAACUGGUGCAAUUUGGCAGUGAUUGGCAGUGAUUGCUAAGCUUUACACUACUGAUGUUCUCGAUUUACAUUUUCCGUAAAGGCUGGCUAUGCAUCAUGGGGAAUGUAGUCCACAAACAUCCACCGUGCCAAGAUUAGCCGUCACUAGACCGUAUCGAGCGAGAUAGACGGCUUUACUCAUUAUCCGUGUAACAUGCAGAAACUUAUCGUUUUAUUCUGUUUAAAAACAGAUCUUGUACAAAAAUCAUCUGAAAAUGGUCUGAACAUUCACUAGGAAUUUCAAUUUCUAAAUAAAUCAAAUUAUUGCACUAUUGCAAGUGAAAAUGGGUAAAAAAUACACGUUUUAAGUUCUUCCAGGGAAUGUAACUGCAUAUUCUGCAUUUCAUGCUUUACUAGAAAAAAAAGAAUAGGUGAACUUAUUACGGAGAAGCCUUUAAAAAAUAAAUAAAUAAAUAAA
Molecule: non-coding RNA, 1519 nt
Organism: Pelobates cultripes (western spadefoot toad)
Lineage: Eukaryota; Metazoa; Chordata; Amphibia; Anura; Pelobatidae
Source: the annotation of a GenBank genome assembly